Molecule: ribosomal RNA, 782 nt
Filed under: Salmonella enterica
Lineage: Bacteria; Pseudomonadati; Pseudomonadota; Gammaproteobacteria; Enterobacterales; Enterobacteriaceae
Description: partial 23S ribosomal RNA
Rfam family: Bacterial large subunit ribosomal RNA
Source: RNAcentral
GAUGAGUAGGGCGGGACACGUGGUAUCCUGUCUGAAUAUGGGGGGACCAUCCUCCAAGGCUAAAUACUCCUGACUGACCGAUAGUGAACCAGUACCGUGAGGGAAAGGCGAAAAGAACCCCGGCGAGGGGAGUGAAAAAGAACCUGAAACCGUGUACGUACAAGCAGUGGGAGCACCCUUUGGGGUGUGACUGCGUACCUUUUGUAUAAUGGGUCAGCGACUUAUAUUCUGUAGCAAGGUUAACCGAAUAGGGGAGCCGUAGGGAAACCGAGUCUUAACCGGGCGUUAAGUUGCAGGGUAUAGACCCGAAACCCGGUGAUCUAGCCAUGGGCAGGUUGAAGGUUGGGUAACACUAACUGGAGGACCGAACCGACUAAUGUUGAAAAAUUAGCGGAUGACCUGUGGCUGGGGGUGAAAGGCCAAUCAAACCGGGAGAUAGCUGGUUCUCCCCGAAAGCUAUUUAGGUAGCGCCUCGUGAAUUCAUCUCCGGGGGUAGAGCACUGUUUCGGCUAGGGGGCCAUCCCGGCUUACCAACCCGAUGCAAACUGCGAAUACCGGAGAAUGUUAUCACGGGAGACACACGGCGGGUGCUAACGUCCGUCGUGAAGAGGGAAACAACCCAGACCGCCAGCUAAGGUCCCAAAGUCAUGGUUAAGUGGGAAACGAUGUGGGAAGGCCCAGACAGCCAGGAUGUUGGCUUAGAAGCAGCCAUCAUUUAAAGAAAGCGUAAUAGCUCACUGGUCGAGUCGGCCUGCGCGGAAGAUGUAACGGGGCUAAACCAU